AGUUAGAAGAGCUGUUGUUUCGUUUUCUAAAACAAACUACCAACUCUGCAGGCAUGCAAAGAAGUGUACUAUGGUCCCAAGUGAGUGUUUCUCCCAAGAGUCUGUAUUUUUCCCUAGCUCAACUCACUUCCUGGUCAGCAAUAGGAUUCAUAAGUAAAUGACUGAAGAGGAAACAAGUUCACAGGUGGUGGUCCCUGUUGCUUUGUUUCUUCUGGCUUAAAUUCCGACCAGCACACGCCUUUAAUGCCAGUAAUGCAAGAAAGAUAUGCAUUAAUAGAAAUCGCAUUGAAGUGUGUCCCAGUUUCACUCCCUGGGAGUCUGUAAAGGAAAGAGAAAUCUUCACAAGCCACAUCUUUGGGAUGUUUUAAGUCAUCUUCUAAACAAAGUACUUUAUCCUGGACCUGCUAAAUACAAAUGUACAAGACAACAUCGCGCUUCCAAAGGCUUUCUGUGGAUAAAUAAAUUCCUUCAUGACUACGAUUUCAUUUGCUCAACUCUGGUUAUAAAAUGACCCCAUAAAUUCACUAACGGUAUUGCACUAUACAUGGAGAUCAGGCAUUUUUCAGGGAAAUACUAAGGCAGCUGUUACAGAUUAUGCCUCCUGAAAAACAAGCGGCUGUGUCAUAGUCUGAAAUAACAUGGACGCUGUGCUGUGCACUUCUCAAGCUGGUUCUCGUAUUCAGUAUUUCUAGUAAAUGGAUGCAAAUCAGGUUCAUUGUGCUUCGAUGGGAAGGGGGGAGAUUUGUCCAGAAAUGACCUCAGUUCUAUUCAUUAAUAAAAUGACACUUUGGCCGAGAGCAGUGAAGAAUGAAAUAUAACAAGAGUGAACUUUCCUCCAUGGGACAGAUGUACAUAGAGCUUUUCCUUGGAGAAUGCACUGUAUGUAAAAUGGCCACUGCAACAUAAUAUCUGACAACAUGAAAGGGACCUCUAAGAUGCAGAUUGCUUGGAGGAAAAUCACAACGUCCAUGGCGGUGCAUACCCUGAGUCCCUAGAUACUGUACAGCUGUUGCUGAUCCAACCCUUCCGAAGUUCUUAAUCAAGCACGCCUACUGAGUGAUUAAAUUUUCCAUAUCACGUCAUCACCGUUUUCCUACAGCAGAGAAAAACCAGCAGUAUUAUAUUAUAAACGGUUAUGUGAGAGCUUAAAAGAGAAAUGUCCUGUGAGCCUCCUGCCCUUUCCUGCUUGGUACCCAGCUAGUGACCAUUUGGGGAGGAUUAGGAGGUAUGAUUCUGACGGAGG
This 1243-nucleotide long non-coding RNA is filed under the name Cricetulus griseus (Chinese hamster). RNAcentral describes it as "lncRNA (ENSCGRG00015039691.1)". The record is from RNAcentral. Lineage: Eukaryota; Metazoa; Chordata; Mammalia; Rodentia; Cricetidae.